Drosophila melanogaster (fruit fly) is the source of this 458-nucleotide non-coding RNA. Lineage: Eukaryota; Metazoa; Arthropoda; Insecta; Diptera; Drosophilidae. The record is from Ensembl.
UUAACCUUUUUACGCUACUUGAAAUUAUGUUAUUUAAAAUUGAAAAACAGUAUAUAAUAUGUAUAAUUUUCCCCACAACGACCGUUUUCACUCGGAUUGCUCAUUCGAAAUGCGUAGAAGAACAUGAAAACAUUUAAAUAAUACACUCCCGAACACUUGAACACAUGGUCGCACUCGUUCCCUCUCCCAAAUCCGUCAGAUACUUUACAAUAGCGCUACCCGAACCGCGCGAUACAUUUACAUUAGCAGGCCGUUUAGUGCUGUUGUCUCUGAAUUUCAUUACCAUUUUUCCCCCCAUUUGCUUUCUUGAUAAUAUUCGAGAGUCUGGUAAUGUUUACAUUUUGUGCAUUUGUGUUUCGGGUAUUUUGUAUUUUCGAGUUGCGCUAGUAGCAAACAUUUGGAAAAUCGAGCAGAGCGAACUUCUGAAUGGAAUAGAAUUGUAUACAAUGUGGAAAUAA